AACGCGAAGAACCUUACCCAGGCUUGACAUGCAGAGGACGACGGCAGAGAUGUCGUUUCCCGAAAGGGUCUCUGCACAGGUGCUGCAUGGCUGUCGUCAGCUCGUGCCGUGAGGUGUUUGGUUAAGUCCAGCAACGAGCGCAACCCUUAUCGUUAGUUGCCAACAUUUAAGGUGGGAACUCUAAUGAGACUGCCUGGGUUAACCAGGAGGAAGGUGAGGAUGACGUCAAGUCAGCAUGGCCCUUAUGUCUGGGGCUACACACGUGCUACAAUGGUCGGUACAGAAGGCAGCAAAGCCGUAAGGUGGAGCAAAUCCCUAAAACCGAUCCCAGUUCAGAUUGUAGUCUGCAACUCGACUACAUGAAGUUGGAAUUGCUAGUAAUGGCGCGUCAGCAAUAGCGCCGUGAAUACGUUCCCGGGCCUUGUACACACCGAGACGAC
RNAcentral lists this ribosomal RNA (440 nucleotides) under uncultured bacterium. Its description in RNAcentral is "bacterial SSU rRNA". It matches the Rfam family "Bacterial small subunit ribosomal RNA", at positions 958 to 1398 of the family's 1533-position model. The record is from RNAcentral.